CACUGGAUGUCCACCAUCAUUUUAGGAAGUUUUAGAAAUAAUUGGGAAGCGUAUUUUAACGACCCUAGACCAUUGGAGCCCGAGAGAUUAAAAGCAUUGCGGAUUCAGUGGGCACAGUUUUAUCUCCAAGUUAGAGAUCAGGCCCAGGAUUUAGAGACAUUUUUUAACAUUUUUGACAUUUUUUACAUUUUCUAUGUAACACGAACAUUGAAUUCAUUUGUUGAUUGUUCUUUAUAAUAUAUAAAUCAAUUAUUU
Molecule: long non-coding RNA, 255 nt
Organism: Glycine soja
Lineage: Eukaryota; Viridiplantae; Streptophyta; Magnoliopsida; Fabales; Fabaceae
Exons: 2
Source: RefSeq, a predicted model, not a curated record